Oncorhynchus tshawytscha (Chinook salmon) is the source of this 809-nucleotide long non-coding RNA. NCBI's taxonomy places the organism in Eukaryota, Metazoa, Chordata, Actinopteri, Salmoniformes, Salmonidae. The record is from Ensembl.
GUCAGAGGACACCCUUCUGGUAGGCCUGGGUCAGAGGGGUCAGAGGACACCCUUCUGGUAGGCCUGGGGCUGAGGGGUCAGAGGACACCCUUCUGGUAGGCCUGGGUCAGAGGGGUCAGAGGACAGCCUUCUGGUAGGCCUGGGUCAGAGGGGUCAGAGGACACCCUUCUGGUAGCCUGGGGCUGAGGGGUCAGAGGACACCCUUCUGGUAGGCCUGGGUCAGAGGGGUCAGAGGACACCCUUCUGGUAGGCCUGGGUCAGAGGGGUCAGAGGACACCCUUCUGGUAGGCCUGGGUCAGAGGGGACAGAGGACACCCUUCUGGUAGGCCUGAGGCUGAGGGGUCAGAGGACACCCUUCUGGUAGGCCUGGGGCUGAGGACACCCUUCUUGUUGGUCUGGGGCAGAGGGGUCAGAGGACACCCUUCUGGUAGGUUUGGGGCAGAGGGGUCAGAGAACACCCUUCUGGUAGGUCUGGUGCUGAGGGGUCAGAGGACACCCUUCUGGUAGGCCUGGGGCUGAUGACACCCUUCUGGUAGGUCUGGGGCUGAGGGGUCAGAGGACACCAUUCUGGUUGGCCUGGGGCUGAGGACACCCUUCUGGUAGGCCUGGGGCAGAGGACACCCUUCUGGUAGGUCUGGGGCAGAGGGGUCAGAGGACACCCUUCUGGUAGGCCUGGGGCUGAGGGGUCAGAGGACACCCUUCUGGUAGGCCUGGGUCAGAGGGGUCAGAGGACACCCUUCUGGUAGGCCUGGGUCAGAGGGGUCAGAGGACACCCUUCUGGUAGGCCUGGGGCUGAGGGGUCAGAGGAC